GACGAACGCUGGCGGCAUGCCUAACACAUGCAAGUCUAGGGGUAGCAAUACCACUGGCGCGCGGGUGAGUAACACGUAGGUUAUCUGCCCCCAUCACAGACAUAACCCCGGGAAACCGGGGCUAAUAUCUGAUGAGGUCGCGAGAUCAAAGCUUCGGCGGAUGGGGAUGAGCCUGCGGCUGAUUAGCUAGUUGGUGAGGUAAUGGCUCACCAAGGCGACGAUCAGUAGCUGGUCUGAGAGGACGAACAGCCACACUGGAACUGAGACACGGUCCAGACUCCUACGGGAGGCAGCAGUGAGGAAUAUUGGUCAAUGGGAGCAAUCCUGAACCAGCAAUGCCGCGUGUGGGAUGACAGGGCUUCGCCUUGUAAACCGCUGUCGGAGGGGACGAAUGGUACAUUUGAUGUACUGAGACGGUACCCUCAAAGGAAGGAUCGGCUAACUACGUGCCAGCAGCCGCGGUAAU
Molecule: ribosomal RNA, 466 nt
Filed under: uncultured bacterium
Lineage: Bacteria
Description: bacterial SSU rRNA
Rfam family: Bacterial small subunit ribosomal RNA
Source: RNAcentral